CAGAGAGCGAUGUGUGCGUCUUUCUCCCCUUAUGUCCGAGCAUAGACACCAGUCGCGCACACAGAAAAAGCAGACGGGCCGCGCGGAUCUCCCUGCCGCUUUUUGCUUUGUUUGCGCCUCUCGUUGCGCGUUUGCUGCACCUGGAUCUCCGCCUCGGAGGUUGCUGAUGGGGGAAUUCCGGCUUUGCAAUGAGACUAUCAAUAAUACCGAACCUCAUGUGGCUGAAAUAUUUAGACUUUCACAUCGUCCGGUGCAUGUGAUGAAGAGAAGCUCUCCUCCAGCUGAUGACCGAGACCUGUGCUGUGAUUUCACGAGAUAUCCUCGGUACGGGAGACGACAUCGCUGUGGCCGCCUGAGAGGACUUGUGUGUCCGGAGCCGUCGGGGAUUGGCCGCGUGUCAUCCUGGGUCUUCAGAAGGAACAGUGAAGGAACGUUGUGUUGGGGACUUGGGGAUGAGAGGUUUGGGGACCCGUUGAGUGGCUCAGAAUCAUGCUUUUAUUAUUGAAUCAUGCUCGGAGGAGAUUCUGGCAAAUGUGCAUCACACUGAGGGCUGCAGGUGUUUUCAAGCCGAGCGAUGAUGAUGCUGCGACACGCAUCCAUGGCGAUGAAUAAAAAAUGAUUCUGCUAUCUGACCCCUGUCACUCCUUUUCUUUUUUCUUCCCAUUUUCACCCACUAAAUUAGUGCAGCUGCACCACACUUAAAUGGGUGCCCCUCUUUUUUCUUCUUCCUCUGGGAGUGUAUGUGACCGACCAUGAAUCCUCUCUUUGUGCUGCGUCUGCAGAGCCCCCCUCCCCUACCACCACCACCACCACCCACCCCCCCACUAUAGUUUCUUGCCGUCUCUGGCUUUUUUUAUUUGGGAGAAGAGGGGCUUCGGUUGCAACGGCGGCAGCACUGGUGAGGUGGUGGUGGUGGCGACGGAGCGGGUAACUUGUUGG
Molecule: long non-coding RNA, 939 nt
Organism: Gasterosteus aculeatus aculeatus (three-spined stickleback)
Lineage: Eukaryota; Metazoa; Chordata; Actinopteri; Perciformes; Gasterosteidae
Source: Ensembl